ACGAACGCUGGCGGCGUGCUUAACACCUGCAAGUCGAACGGAAAGGCCCUGCUUUUGUGGGGUGCUCGAGUGGCGAACGGGUGAGUAACACGUGAGUAACCUGCCCUUGACUUUGGGAUAACUUCAUGAAACUGGGGCUAAUACCGGAUAGGAGCUCCUGCUGCAUGGUGGGGGUUGGAAAGUUUCGGCGGUUGGGGAUGGACUCGCGGCUUAUCAGCUUGUUGGUGGGGUAGUGGCUUACCAAGGCUUUGACGGGUAGCCGGCCUGAGAGGGUGACCGGCCACAUUGGGACUGAGAUACGGCCCAGACUCCUACGGGAGGCAGCAGUGGGGAAUAUUGCACAAUGGGCGGAAGCCUGAUGCAGCAACGCCGCGUGCGGGAUGACGGCCUUCGGGUUGUAAACCGCUUUCGCCUGUGACGAAGCGUGAGUGACGGUAAUGGGUAAAGAAGCACCGGCUAACUACGUG
Molecule: ribosomal RNA, 467 nt
Filed under: uncultured bacterium
Lineage: Bacteria
Description: partial 16S ribosomal RNA
Rfam family: Bacterial small subunit ribosomal RNA
Source: RNAcentral